Molecule: ribosomal RNA, 442 nt
Filed under: uncultured bacterium
Lineage: Bacteria
Description: partial 16S ribosomal RNA
Rfam family: Bacterial small subunit ribosomal RNA
Source: RNAcentral
CCUACGGGAGGCAGCAGUAGGGAAUCUUUCACAAUGGGCGAAAGCCUGAUGGAGCAACGCCGCGUGCAGGAUGAAGGCCUUCGGGUUGUAAACUGCUUUUAUAAGCGAGAAAUAUGAUGGUAACUUAUGAAUAAGGAUCGGCUAACUACGUGCCAGCAGCCGCGGUCAUACGUAGGAUUCGAGCAUUAUCCGGAGUGACUGGGUGUAAAGAGUUGCGUAGGUGGCAUAAUAAGUAGCUAGUGAAAUCUGGUGGCUCAACCAUUCAGACUAUUAGCUAAACUGUUAAGCUCGAGACCGUUAGUGUUAACUGGAUGUUCUAGUGUAGGAGUGUAAUCCGUAGAUAUUAGAAGGCACACCAAUAGCGUAGGCAGGUUGCUGGGACGGUUCUGACACUAAGGCACGAAAGCGUAGGGAGCAAACGGGAUUAGAUACCCGAGUAGUC